Molecule: long non-coding RNA, 2079 nt
Organism: Zea mays
Lineage: Eukaryota; Viridiplantae; Streptophyta; Magnoliopsida; Poales; Poaceae
Exons: 3
Source: RefSeq, a predicted model, not a curated record
CUCCCUUGGCCCCUGCUUCCUUCCGUGGCCGCACCAGGCACAGCCGCCGCAGGCGCACAAGACGUCCGCUCCCGCCCGGCCGCCUGCUCGUCGUUACGUGCACCCGCCGCGACCGCCUCCGUAUGGCUGGCCGCCGGCUAUCCGAAUACGACUGCGCACCCGUGCCUUACGGAGUCACCGCCUCGCAGGUUCUAGCCUCGCGCGCUUGCUAGCCUGCUGGUUGGCCGUGCUUCGCCAGACGACUACUGCUUGGUGCUCAGUUUGCUGCUUACUAGCCUGCUUCGGCUGCUUGCUUGGCUUAGCUGCUUGCAAGCCUGUUGCUAGUUGCUAGACGGCCUCUUCCCUAGCCUGCUUUUGCUGCUUGCUAGUUGCUAGCCUGCUGCCCUGCUUGAUUUCAAAAAGAUUGGUUUGAGCAAUAUAAUUGGUUGGAAUACAGUUUGCUUAUAUUUGGUUAAAUUGCUGAUUUGACAUAUAGUCUACAUCAGAUUCUUGAUCUAAGGGCAACCCUGUAGGCAUCAUGGAAGAAAACGAGUGAGUUCAGCAGCCAUUACAACAGAUGGGAAUACAGACAAACUCUUUGAAUUCUUGGAACAACGGUUAGGCAAGCCAUUGCUAAUAACAUCGGCAGCCAAUUUGGUAUCAGCAGAACCCUGAAAUGAUCAAAAACGACGUUUCCCAUGACAGGAAGAAUGUCCAGCUCGACGUGCUUGGUCCGAAUUUUUGAAACAUAAUGUUAUCGACUCUACUUUUUUUUUAUAUAGAAUACAAACCACUUCGAAAGCAAUCAGAAAACUUUGACCGGACCUUUUGUCAACAUUUGUACCGACCAUUUUCAAAUCUUAGCAUGAAGAGAAAAGGCCUUUUACGAUUCACAACAAAACAAAUCACCCCAGAGACUGGAGAUAGCCUCCCCUAGUGCACAAGGCAAUCUUCAGCAGAUCCUCUAUCCCAUUCAUUAUCCGUCACAUAUUUUAAAUUUAUCUCUGUGAAGAGUGUCAUCAUAAUUUCUGAACCCUAUUUUACACAAACCACUAGAGGACAGUCCAAGAACUCCAAUCUACCAACCUACCGCCGCAACGAGCAGAGGUGCUGCGACGAGGCAGCAAGUUCCAAGGUCGUCAAAAUGUACUGUCGAUCCUUUCGCGAGUAAGAUCUGCAUUGCUCAGUAUUAUGAAUGAUCUUCUCAUGGAUGCCAGAAGCAUCUCCGAAGUCUGACAUGCGAAGUUUGUUCACAAUUCAUCACCACAAUUUCAAUUUGCAACGAGGCAAACACUGGAACAGAGGAAACUGAUCGACUCGACGCAAAAAAAAGGGCUUUUGCUCGAGAUCAGAAGGAAAACAGAGACGGUUGUCAGUCACUGAAAAAAAUCAGAAACACGGACCAAUCUUUCCUUCAUCACAUCCAGCGCAGAUCCAGAUUCACAAACGAACACAAAAAGGGGGGAAACGGCGACAGCAGAAGCAUUUGCGAUGGCAGCACGUAGGCCAUCAGAGACUUAAAACUAGGAAUCAUGUCCUGGAUCAUUUUGUUGCAGUUAUUCUCUAAUCAUCUGACCAUGCACACCAUUGCAGCCGAGAGAUGCAAAAAAAUGAUCGGAAAAAAAACUGCGAAGAGCGAAAUAAACACUGCACCAAGGAGAGGAGAGGAGACGAGACGAUUGAUUGGAGAGAAACGAAGCGAAGGAGGAAGAGAGACAGCCGCACUUGCAGUCCGCACCCAGCAGCGCCGGAAUGCCCGCGCAUCCAAGAUUCAUUUUGCUUCUGCAUAUAAAGACGUCGAGUGAAGAAACCCUAGGAGCCCCUGUCCUGUGUCGCGGCUAACAAGGGCCAAGCCCAUGAACAAGUACGGUCGAAAGUCCUGAAUCCGCCGUGGGACGACGGCUGCAGAGGUCCGGUCACGUUGGCGGGUGGUCAGUGCGGAGCUAGUGAGCUAGCUAGCGGGACUCGCGUGGCGCAACGCAAGGCCAGUUGUGUGGCUGCAGGGGCCAGGCCAGGGGGCACACCUGCGUGGCACUGUUUGGCUUGUACAGGACGUGUGACAGGAUUAAUUGGGACGAAAACAAAAGACUCAAGUUGUCA